Oreochromis aureus is the source of this 1106-nucleotide long non-coding RNA. The record is from Ensembl. NCBI's taxonomy places the organism in Eukaryota, Metazoa, Chordata, Actinopteri, Cichliformes, Cichlidae.
AAUGACAGCAUUUCCAAAGCAGACGUCUGUGGUGGCAGCUGAGGAAGGUUGAUGAUUUCCUGCAUCAUCUCAGGUCCAUCAAUGUCAGCUACUCCCUUAUCUGUCAGUGUCUUCUGUACUUCAGUGCAGUGUUUUUUUAAAUCCUCCUUGGACAUCCCAUUCACUUUGCUGAAAUCAAGCAGCACUCCAUAUUUCUCCUUCACUUGAUUCAUGGUCUCAAACCUCUCCUGUAGGGACAUUAAAGCAGAGUCCACAACACAAUUGAAAAAUGUGACCUCAAGCUUUUUAAGGGCAUCAUGGAGGGGCUCAUCAACAGCUUCAUAUGCAAACUGCCUUUUUGUGCUCCUGAGCCUUUUCUCCUUCAACUGUGGUUCUAUGUUCAGGGCCUCACAGAGUUCUUUGGCAGCUGACACAGCCUCAUCAAACCCAGACUGUCUGUAUUUAGAGAGGUUACUUUUGGCAGUGUCAAUGAGCCUGACAGCAACAUCGAGCUGCAUGGAGCUGGACUGUAGUAACUUGUUCACCUGGUUUGUGAUUGUAAGAAGUUCACACCACACGAUGGAGCAAAUCAAAAAUCGAAAUGAGGCUACUUCCUCAGCAAGCACUUGAGCCUCCACCUUUGCGACUGCAUCACUUACAGCUUCUCUGGCCUCCAGGAGAGCAUCCCUCACUUCUUUUGUCUGACUCCGGACAGCAGUUACACUUUGAAGCCUGCUUUCCCAUCUAACGUCACUCCAAGAUUUAAGUGUCAAUUUCACAUGUUUUGUUAAAAUGGCCCAUCGCUGGGUGGCACUGGAAAAGAAAUUGAACAACUUCUGCAAAUACCCAAAGUAGCCAGUUGCAUCUGGAGAGGACUUGGCAGCAUCAGCUAUGACCAGAUUCAUCGUGUGAGCUCCACAAGGCACAAACAAUGCUCUCGGGUUUAAUUGUAGCAGUCUGGCCUGAACACCUUGCUUCUUCCCCUUCAUGUUGGCCCCAUUGUCAUAGGCCUGUCCUCGACAGUUUUCAAAUGGAAUGCCAAGCUCCUUCAACUUGUCAAGGACAACAUUGGACAGGUUAAGGCCAGUUGUUUGCUCCACAUUUAUAUAGCCAAGAAAGUAUUCUUU